AUACAGAGGGUGCAAGCGUUAUUCGGAAUCACUGGGCGUAAAGGACGCGUAGGCGGGUUUGUAAGUCAGGUGUGAAAUCCUACAGCUCAACUGUAGAACUGCACUUGAAACUACAGACCUAGAGUAUGGAAGGGGCAGAUGGAAUUAGUGGUGUAGGGGUAAAAUCCGUAGAUAUCACUAGGAAUACCGAAAGCGAAGGCGAUCUGCUGGGACAUUACUGACGCUGAGGCGUGAAAGCGUGGGGAGCAAACAGGAUUAGAUACCCUAGUAGUCC
Molecule: ribosomal RNA, 274 nt
Filed under: uncultured bacterium
Lineage: Bacteria
Description: partial 16S ribosomal RNA
Rfam family: Bacterial small subunit ribosomal RNA
Source: RNAcentral